UAUUGCUUUGGCAAUACAUAUACUAGAAUUGGAACAAUACAGAGAAGAUUAGCAUUGUCCCUGCGCAAGGAUGACACGCAAAUUCGUGAAGCGUUCCAUAUUUCA
RNAcentral lists this small nuclear RNA (105 nucleotides) under Octopus sinensis (East Asian common octopus). Lineage: Eukaryota; Metazoa; Mollusca; Cephalopoda; Octopoda; Octopodidae. The record is from RNAcentral.